UGAAUACGAGACGCUAAGGCGUCGAAGUAGUGUAUGUCAUACUUCCAAGAAAAGCUUGCACUGUCAUAGAUAAAAAAUGCCUGUACCAUAACCGACACAGGUGGGUAGGUAGAGUAUACUAAGGGGCGCGAGAUAACUCUCUCUAAGGAACUCGGCAAAAUAACUCCGUAACUUCGGGAGAAGGAGUGCCUUAUUCGUAAGGUUGCAAUAACAAGAUCCAAGCAACUGUUUAUCAAAAACACAGGUCUCCGCUAAGUCGUAAGACGAUGUAUGGGGGCUGACGCCUGCCCAGUGCCAGAAGGUUAAAGAAGUUGGUUAGCAAUUGCGAAGCUAGUAACAGAAGCCCUGGUGAACGGCGGCCGUAACUAUAACGGUCCUAAGGUAGCGAAAUUCCUUGUCGGGUAAGUUCCGACCCGCACGAAAGGCGUAAUGAUUUGGAUACUGUCUCGGAGAGGGGCUCGGUGAAAUAGACUUGUCUGUGAAGAUGCGGACUACCUGCACCAGGACAGAAAGACCCUAUGAAGCUUUACUGUAACCUGAAAUUGAAAUUGGACUUUAUUCGCGCAGUAUAGGUGGGAGGCGUUGAUUAUAAUCUUGCGGGAUUAUUGGAGCCAUCAGUGAGAUACCACUCUUGUAAUGUUAGAUUUCUAACUUUGAAUCAUUAUCUGGUCAAAGAACAGUUUCAGGCGGGCAGUUUGACUGGGGCGGUCGCCUCCUAAAUGGUAACGGAGGCGUACAAAGGUUUCCUCUGAACGGUUAGAAAUCGUAUCUAGAGUGUAAAGGCAUAAGGAAGCUUGACUGUGAGACCUACAAGUCGAGCAGGGACGAAAGUCGGUCUUAGUGAUCUGACGGUACUGAGUGGAAAGGCCGUCACUCAACGGAUAAAAGUUACUCUAAGGAUAACAGGCUGAUCUCCCCCAAGAGUUCACAUCGACGGGGAGGUUUGGCACCUUGAUGUCGGCUCAUCGCAUCCUGGGGCGGUAGUACGUCCCAAGGGUUGGGCUGUUCGCCCAUGAAAGCGGUACGCGAGCUGGGUUCAGAACGUCGUGAGACAGUUCGGUCCAUAUCCGGUGUAGGCGUUAGAAUAUUGAGAGGAGCCUUCCUUAGUACGAGAGGACCGAGAAGGACAUACCUCUGGUGUACCAGUUAUCGUGCCAACGGUAAACGCUGGGUAGCUAUGUAUGGAGUGGAUAACCGCUGAAAGCAUCUAAGUGGGAAGCCCACCUCAAGAUAAGUAUUCUCAUCA
This 1246-nucleotide ribosomal RNA is filed under the name metagenome. Its description in RNAcentral is "bacterial LSU rRNA". It matches the Rfam family "Bacterial large subunit ribosomal RNA", at positions 1564 to 2819 of the family's 2925-position model. The record is from RNAcentral.